UUAAAAAGAAAAUUGUUAAUUCAAUUUAAUUUGAAAUUUAUUAAUUAUUAAUUUUGAUGUUAUUAUUUAUAUUAUUAUAUAAAUUUUUAAGUUUUUUAUUUAUUAAGAAAAAAUUAAUUUAAUAAUAGUUUAUAGUAUUGUAAAAGAAUUUAUUUAAUUAUUAUAAAGAAAUUUUUAAUUUUUGUACCUUGUGUAUCAGGGUUUAUUAAAUUAGUUUAUAGAUUUUAGUUUUUUCGAAUUUAAAAGAGCUAAAAAAUUAAUUUAUUUUAUUGUAUCAUAAUUAAGUAAAAUAAUUUUUUUGUAAUGAAAUGUUAUUCGUUUUUAAAUAUAUCUAAUUUUUUAAGAAAUAAAUAAAAUUUAUUUAAUAAUAAUAUUUAAUUUUAUUUAUAAAAAAUAUUAUUAUUAAAAAAUAUUUUUAGGGAUUAGCUUAAAAAUUUAUUUUUAUUAUUAAAUAAAUUUAUAAAAUAUUUUAGGAUUAAAAUUUUUUAUAAUAUAAAUAUGUUAUUAUUUAUUUUUAUUGAAUUAAAAUUUAUUUUUAAUAUAAAUUUUUUAUUAAAAUUUAAUUUAUAAUUAAAAUUAAUUAGUAAUAAUGAUAAAAUUAGUAUAGUUUAAUUUAUAUUUUAUAUAAGUUUAAGGUUAGUUAAAGGAACUCGGCAAAUUAAUUUUUCAACUGUUUAUUAAAAACAUUGCCUUUUGUUUUAUAUUUAAGGUAUAACCUGCCCUAUGUGAAAUAAAUGGCUGCAGUAUUUUGACUGUACUAAGGUAGCAUAAUAAUUAGUUUUUUAAUUGAAAGCUGGAAUGAAUGGUAUAAUGGAAAAAUUUCUGUCUCUAAUUAAUUUUAUUAAAAUUUUAUAUUUAAGUUAAAAAGCUUAAAUAUUUUUAAAAGACGAGAAGACCCUAUAGAAUUUUAUAUUAUUUUUAUUAUUAUUUUUUAGAAUUUAUAUUAUUAAUAAUUUAUAGUAUUGGGUUGGGGUGACUAAAAAAUUGAAAUAACUUUUUUUAUAUUUUUAUAUAAAUUUAUAAAUUUAUGAUCCAUAAAUUAUGAUUAAAAGAAUAAAUUACCUUAGGGAUAACAGCGUAAUUUUAUUGGAGAGUUCUUAUCGAUAAUAAAGUUUGCGACCUCGAUGUUGGAUUAAAAUUUAUUUUUAAUGCAGAAGUUAAAAAAUUAAGUCUGUUCGACUUUUAAAAUUUUACAUGAUCUGAGUUUAGACCGGUGUGAGCCAGGUCGGUUUCUAUCUUUAAAUAAAAUUAAUAAUUUAGUACGAAAGGACCAAUUAUU
Molecule: ribosomal RNA, 1279 nt
Filed under: Phyllotreta foudrasi
Lineage: Eukaryota; Metazoa; Arthropoda; Insecta; Coleoptera; Chrysomelidae
Description: 16S ribosomal RNA
Rfam family: Archaeal large subunit ribosomal RNA (bases 1069-1227)
Source: RNAcentral